This 59-nucleotide microRNA precursor is filed under the name Eisenia fetida (common brandling worm). Its description in RNAcentral is "Efe-Mir-219-P9_pre stem-loop". The record is from RNAcentral. Lineage: Eukaryota; Metazoa; Annelida; Clitellata; Crassiclitellata; Lumbricidae.
UGAUUGUCCAUUCGCAGUUCUUGUUCGCGUUCUUCCAAGAACUGUGCGUGGACGUCAGU